This is a long non-coding RNA of Solea solea (common sole), 530 nucleotides long. RefSeq lists it as uncharacterized. NCBI's taxonomy places the organism in Eukaryota, Metazoa, Chordata, Actinopteri, Pleuronectiformes, Soleidae. The record is from RefSeq and is a predicted model, not a curated record. The transcript is spliced from 4 exons.
GUCGCACAAGGCCGUGAAACCUUUUACAAACCGAUGGGCAUUUUACGACAAAAUACUGGAACUUUAACGGAAAGACAACCUUAAAAUGGAGGAUUUUAAAGCAGGAUAAAGCGGUAGAAGAUGAAUGGAAUUACUGUUUACACCUGUGUCGUCAUCAGGAAGGAGAGGAGGUCAGCUGAUGGAGGCCAACACCUGCAGACCCGUCACUCAUUUAUAAAGCAACUCCCAGAUCCAUAAUUACUGGAUCCUCUCUGAGAUGCAAAGCCUUCAACAUGCAGUAGCAGCAACACACAGAUAGAAAUAAGGGAGAAGAGAUGACAUUAUCAGAGACAAGCACAUGUUUGCACAUGAUUGAACAAACACACACGAGGAGGAACCCCUGUCCAAAAACCCACAAGACGGGCUCGCCUGUGUGACGAUAGCGAGCCAGAUGGACCGGGGCAGGUGAUAACUGCGCCGGUCGGUGUGUUGAUGGGUCAUGUUGGGAAGCUACACCGCUCCAUCCCGAUAUGAGCGUUUUCCCUGCCACG